AGGGCUCCCUGAGGGAGGCCAGCACAAGAGCUCUGCCAUAAAAGGACAUUGGACAGAAGUGAAGAGUCCAAUCAGAAACUCUUUUUGAGAGACUGAACGCAAAGCAUUCAGAGAGUCAGCAGGCUGGAGAGGCCAAGACACACACACGAAGAAGGCAGUGCCCUGUCAUCUCCUCAAAUGUUGCUCUUAUUCACUGAAGCAAGCUGACUCCCCAAUACCAUGUACAUACUGAACCCAGAAGAGGGGAGAAAAGAAGGAAGGAUUGUGCAUAGGAGUUCCUUUUGAAGAAGUGACAUGGAGGGACACUCUUCUCCUCCUGCGGUUGGACUCCAGGCUCUAUGACCUUCAAACUCCAGGACUUACACCAGUUGCCCCUGGGCACUCAGGACUUCUGCUUCAGACUGACAGUUGCAGGACAGUGCAGCAUUUUAUUUUAAAGAUACCCCACAACGUAGGUGGCCAGUCCUGCUGCAGGUGCGGUUUCAAGCCUUUGGAGUUUGACCUUCUAGUCCAAGGUCAUUACAGCUGCAGGCAGAGGCUCCCGCGGGGAAAAGAGCAUUUCCUGGGACGCUGGAACUAAAUGAAUGGCCCACUCUCCAGUUCAGCCCUUGCCUCCUUCCCGACACAUAAAGUUCAAGAGCCACGGUCCUGAGUGCAUAGGAACAGCCCCAUCACCCUUCUCCCUCUGGGCAAGCUAGGAGCAGCGGUGCGAGGCUCCAUUUCUUCUUCUCUGCCUCCUGGACCUCAGCCACCUCUGCUCAGGCACAGGCCAGCUGCCCAGGCGUCCUCAUCUGGCGACCAGCUCUGACCGCAGCCCUGAUUGAGAGCUGUACUAGCCUGGCAUGCAGACAGCAGCUUUAGAAUCAGAUCUGCCUUCUGGCGGCUUCCCACCUAGGAGCCAUGGGACCUUUGUGAAGUCACCAAUUGUGCUGUGGAUGCUUCAUUUGUGAAGGAGAACAGGACUGCCUUGUGAAAUUACGGAUGGUGCUACUAAAACAUAUCAAUAAUUUGAAUUUCACUUUUGUGGAUGCUUUAAACAUCAUAGUCAUUAGAAGGUGGAUCUGGCUGAUUGUACUUUAAGUUUUCAGUUUGAGCUGGAGCUUUGUAUUAUAACAGGAGGGUACUGGACAAGAUGAGGAAACUGAGGUACAGAUGGGAAACUUGCUCAAGUUCACACAGCAAUUAAGUGAUCAAGUCCAAGAGCAAAACCAGGCAGGCUGGCUCCAGAGCUCACGAUAGUCCACCACUGCUUUCCACCAUCACUACGGAAUCAAGUCCAUGAGGAUACUCACCUUAUGUCAGUUGCCUAAGUUGGAAAUUAUAGAAUCUUCAAAUUGGAAGGGACGUUAUCAUCCAAGAUUUCAACUUUCUACUCACUGCAAAAUCCCUUCUGGAACUUCCCAGAUUGAUGAAUUUUCAUCAGCUCUGCUUGAGUACUCCCAGUGACUUGGAAAAAAAACACUGUAAUAUGGAUAUGAAAUAUAAACUGUUCAUGGAUAAAUUAUUGCAUAAUAAAAACAUGCCUAAUGGCUACACUCCCCUAAUAUGUUCA
This is a long non-coding RNA of Homo sapiens (human), 1552 nucleotides long. Ensembl annotates it as long intergenic non-protein coding RNA 1095. Lineage: Eukaryota; Metazoa; Chordata; Mammalia; Primates; Hominidae. The record is from Ensembl.